AAAUGAACACUUCUAAAUCUAAAAAUGCUGGUUUUAUAAGCAGAUAACACAUCUGAAAUGACUUGUAAGACAUCUUACGGAGGUUAGGAUGCAGGCCCUG
Thalassophryne amazonica is the source of this 100-nucleotide long non-coding RNA. RefSeq lists it as uncharacterized. NCBI's taxonomy places the organism in Eukaryota, Metazoa, Chordata, Actinopteri, Batrachoidiformes, Batrachoididae. The record is from RefSeq and is a predicted model, not a curated record. The transcript has 3 exons.